UACGUAGGUGGCAAGCGUUGUCCGGAUUUACUGGGCGUAAAGAGCGCGCAGGCGGCUGGGCAAGUCCGAUGUGAAAGCUUCCGGCUUAACUGGAAAAUUGCAUCGGAAACUGCUCGGCUUGAAGGUGGGAGAGGGUAGCGGAAUUCCCGGUGUAGUGGUGAAAUGCGUAGAUAUCGGGAGGAACUCCAGUGGCGAAGGCGGCUACCUGGCCCACUCUUGACGCUGAGGCGCGAAAGCUAGGGGAGCAAACGGG
This 253-nucleotide ribosomal RNA is filed under the name uncultured bacterium. Its description in RNAcentral is "partial 16S ribosomal RNA". It matches the Rfam family "Bacterial small subunit ribosomal RNA", at positions 524 to 776 of the family's 1533-position model. The record is from RNAcentral.